AAUUAGAUAAUUAUUAGUGUUUUAUAGAAUAUGUACCUAAUAAAAAAAACUCCGACACUUAAGGACUGUAUAAAGAAGUGAAACCUCAAUCAGAUAAUGAAGGGAAAUUCAAAAUAAAUCUAAUUCCCAUCCAUAGGUGGGUUAUGCGUAUAAUACAUCGGACUGUACGAUUGAGGCAUAGCCAUUUCUGGAGAAUAAAUGGGAUAGUACGACUGAGGAAUUGAUGUGGGAACGGCACCAGGAGGAAGGGUAGCCAUUGACUGGUGAAAUGUUGAAAACUGAUCCAUGGGUGCAGGGAUUGGCAUCAUUGCAUUACGAGGUGGUGAAAAUGGCGCUGGAAACAUCGGAUAUGGAUAGGAGGGAUAUUGAUAUUGAGGGGAAAAUUGCUGCAUUGGUCUUAGUUGACGAAAUUCAACACGCAAAGGCUUUUUCUGGUGUGGGGACCUCGUCUUACCGCAGACGGCAGCAUAAGCGGCUUGUUGAGAAUCAAACCUUAGAAAAGCAAAAGCAGGCUUCUUGCUUUGAUGAAUUAUUUUACAAUCGAUUACCUUUCCAUAUUUGGAAAAUAGAUCAACUAGUAAGUAGUGUGUGCAAUUUACUGGGUCGAGUUGGCCAACGAAUAUAGAAUAAGGAUCAAUCGGUGGAGGCAUUGCAGCAAACAUCAUAGAGGGGUUCAUGGGAUAUCCAGGCUGUUCAAAAGAACCAUCUGUUGGGAGUUCGGCCUUGCCGCUUUCUAAAGAGGGUAUUGAAGGUAAUAUACUCGGUAAGGAGCUUAAAGAUUCAUUAGGAGUACUGAAUUCAGUAGAAUUGACCAAUGAGUGAGCAAAGUAUGAGGGACUUUGAACCGCGGAAUUUGAUCUUCCCAUGGUAGAAGGAGGAUCGGAAGAAACUGAGAAUGGAAUAGGGGCAGGUGCUUUGAUAACAGGAGUGUUCGACUGAUCUUUGCCUUGCGACUUUCGCCUUCGACUAUGUGCGUUAGGUGGAGAAAACGGGGAGGAACCUUUCUUCUUAUAGUGACCGUUUUGAUAUGUCACAUUUUCCGCCCAAAGUACAGGCCAGGCAGAAUGCUUAAGCGCGGUAUAGGCUGCGAUUGCUUCAUCCCUGUAAACAAACCGUACUAAGAAAGCGGAUUGAUCUGGUAUUUCCGUGACAUCUUCAACCUCGCCAUAAGGUUCCAAUAAGUUAUCUAUGUCUUUUUUUGUAAUGUAAGGUUGAUGGGGUGCAGAGGAUAUACGGAUUGUCCUAUUAACUUUGGCGCGCUCUAUACGUAUAUGACGGCCAUCCAAUAUCGUGUUUUGGGCUUCAGAAAGUGCUUUCGAUGCAUCAUCAGUAUUUUGAAAUUGAACAAAAGAAUAAGGCCUUUGCAACCAAUCUUUCAAAACUUUGACAUGCAACAAAGGACCCCACUGUUGAAAGUAAUCUUUAACAGUGGCAGUCAGCUCUUCCUCAGACCUUGAAGAGUUUAAGCUAGCAACAAAUAAACAGGCAACUGGUUUUCCACGGACAGACGACGGAUUUAAUACUCCACUGGAAGAGGAACUUGGGAUAGGGGUGCUUGAUGAUGCAGUUUCCAAAGGAGGCUUUAUAAAGGUAGUGGAAUUAUCAUUUUCGGAUAAAGAACCUGGGGGAAUGUCUUGUAAAAGCGUUGUUUUUUCGAGUUGGGCUGAUAAUUUUUCGACAGGAGAAUGCAAUAAAGAUACAGACGGAGAGGAAACAACCAUUUUUAAAUAAUGUGUUUAAAAAAAAAGUUUGGAAUGAGAAAGGAUCUAUAAAGGGGCAUGAAACAAGGAUGCCGGAUUGAUAUCAAAUUAAAAAGACAAAACUUUAUACGAGAUGCCUGCGCCAAAGUGGGAUGGAGGUCGUAUCAGUCGAUUAUAUGGAAUACAAUAGAUAGUUAUGAGAUGAUGUGUCAACAGCAA
Non-coding RNA from Schizosaccharomyces pombe (fission yeast), 1919 nucleotides. The record is from the annotation of a GenBank genome assembly. NCBI's taxonomy places the organism in Eukaryota, Fungi, Ascomycota, Schizosaccharomycetes, Schizosaccharomycetales, Schizosaccharomycetaceae.